This is a long non-coding RNA of Dromaius novaehollandiae (emu), 685 nucleotides long. RefSeq lists it as uncharacterized. Lineage: Eukaryota; Metazoa; Chordata; Aves; Casuariiformes; Dromaiidae. The transcript has 3 exons. The record is from RefSeq and is a predicted model, not a curated record.
GCUCGCAGGCUCUGCGUCAGCGCCGGGACGGAGGAGCCGCCGGCAGCCCCGCGGCCGCGCUCCGGAGCCUGAAACAGCAGCAGCAGCGAGUGACCGAGCAGCUCAAAGGCUUGUUCGGGCAGAGGCAGCAGCUCCCAGUGGACCUCUGGACCCUGCUGGGAGAGCAGAGAGCUAGGACGUCCGCUGGGAUUUCCAGCCUGGCCGCCGAAAUCCGGGAGCUGCAGCAGAGGGAUGAGGAGGUGUGAGAGGCAGCGCCUGCAUCCAACACCCUGCCCGAGACACCAACCUGGUGACUUUGCCUUGACAAAAAGCUCGUCCUCCCGCCACUGUGACAUACCCGAGUGCCUUCCCAUACACCCCAGAGCUGCACCCCGGAGAGAAGGCAGCUCAAAUUCCCCGGCACUGCUCCAUCCGGAAAGCACCAGCACCUUGCACGCUCCAGGGUGGGCUUGGGUCAGGCACCCCUGCCCUGUCCCGGUCACAGGGCCACCGCAUCUGAGGACAGUUCUUGCUCCUAAAGGUGGAGCAUAAACGUUGCUGGCCUGCGGCUGAGCAGCGAGCACCAGGAUGGGAAACAGUUUCAACUAAACAACUGUGGCCAUAUGCAUGCAUGCAGUCAUGCUUUGUAUUGACCUCUUUGUUUAUUUAAUGGCCACUCAUUUGGACUGGUAAUUAAAUAAAAACA